GACAACAUUAGCUGCAUGGCCCUCCCCAGCUCUGAUGAUCACAACUUCUCUAUUCUAUGCCCAAUCACAAGUUCGACUUGAUAUCAAUAAGCUACACAUCCAUCACCACAUCAACCUUGAAGGGUGUCAUCCACAACUAGUAUGGUGCCUAUCUCCACUCCAUCAUCACCAUCCUCCUUGAGAUGCAACAAUCCACUUUUUUUUUGGGAUAGUUCCAUUAUACCAUAGUAAUGCC
Molecule: long non-coding RNA, 235 nt
Filed under: Elaeis guineensis (African oil palm)
Lineage: Eukaryota; Viridiplantae; Streptophyta; Magnoliopsida; Arecales; Arecaceae
Description: long non-coding RNA (EGUI_LNC034592)
Source: RNAcentral